This 253-nucleotide ribosomal RNA is filed under the name uncultured bacterium. Its description in RNAcentral is "partial 16S ribosomal RNA". It matches the Rfam family "Bacterial small subunit ribosomal RNA", at positions 524 to 776 of the family's 1533-position model. The record is from RNAcentral.
UACAGAGGGCGCAAGCGUUGUUCGGAAUUACUGGGCGUAAAGGGCGCGUAGGCGGCCUUCUAAGUCGAACGUGAAAUCCCCGGGCUCAACCCGGGAACUGCGUCCGAUACUGGAAGGCUUGAAUCCGGGAGAGGGAUGCGGAAUUCCAGGUGUAGCGGUGAAAUGCGUAGAUAUCUGGAGGAACACCGGUGGCGAAGGCGGCAUCCUGGGCCGGUAUUGACGCUGAGGCGCGAAAGCCAGGGGAGCAAACGGG